UAUUGGACAAUGGGGGGAACCCUGAUCCAGCCAUGCCGCGUGUGUGAAGAAGGCCUUAUGGUUGUAAAGCACUUUAAGCGAGGAGGAGGCUCUUCUAGUUACUACCUAGGAUGAGUGGACGUUACUCGCAUAAUAAGCACCGGCUAACUCUGUGCCAGCAGCCGCGGUAAUACAGAGGGUGCGAGCGUUAAUCGGAUUUACUGGGCGUAAAGCGUGCGUAGGCGGCUUUUUAAGUCGGAUGUGAAAUCCCCGAGCUUAACUUGGGAAUUGCAUUCGAUACUGGGAAGCUAGAGUAUGGGAGAGGAUGGUAGAAUUCCAGGUGUAGCGGUGAAAUGCGUAGAGAUCUGGAGGAAUACCGAUGGCGAAGGCAGCCAUCUGGCCUAAUACUGACGCUGAGGUACGAAAGCAUGGGGAGCAAACAGG
RNAcentral lists this ribosomal RNA (423 nucleotides) under uncultured bacterium. RNAcentral describes it as "bacterial SSU rRNA". It matches the Rfam family "Bacterial small subunit ribosomal RNA", at positions 362 to 776 of the family's 1533-position model. The record is from RNAcentral.